UCCCUUGUCAAAGAUAAGUG
RNAcentral lists this unclassified non-coding RNA (20 nucleotides) under Mus musculus (house mouse). Its description in RNAcentral is "oocyte_clustered_small_RNA1210". The record is from RNAcentral. Lineage: Eukaryota; Metazoa; Chordata; Mammalia; Rodentia; Muridae.